CUCCCACCCGUGUCUAUUGUACCUGUUGCUUCGGCGGGCCCGCCGCUUGUCGGCCGCCGGGGGGGCAUCUCUGCCCCUCGGGCCCGUGCCCGCCGGAGACACCAACACGAACACUGUCUGAAAUCGUGAAGUCUGAGUCGAUUGUUUUCAAUCAGUUAAAACUUUCAACAAUGGAUCUCUUGGUUCCGGCAUCGAUGAAGAACGCAGCGAAAUGCGAUAACUAAUGUGAAUUGCAGAAUUCAGUGAAUCAUCGAGUCUUUGAACGCACAUUGCGCCCCCUGGUAUUCCGGGGGGCAUGCCUGUCCGAGCGUCAUUGCUGCCCUCAAGCCCGGCUUGUGUGUUGGGUCGCCGUCCCCCUGUCUGGGGGGACGGGCCCGAAAGGCAGCGGCGGCACCGCGUCCGAUCCUCGAGCGUAUGGGGCUUUGUCACAUGCUCUGUAGGAUUGGCCGGCGCCUGCCGACAACUCCA
This 468-nucleotide ribosomal RNA is filed under the name Aspergillus carbonarius. RNAcentral's name for it is "eukaryotic LSU rRNA". The stretch from base 160 to 313 matches the Rfam family "5.8S ribosomal RNA". The record is from RNAcentral. Lineage: Eukaryota; Fungi; Ascomycota; Eurotiomycetes; Eurotiales; Aspergillaceae.